Molecule: ribosomal RNA, 505 nt
Filed under: uncultured bacterium
Lineage: Bacteria
Description: partial 16S ribosomal RNA
Rfam family: Bacterial small subunit ribosomal RNA
Source: RNAcentral
GACGAACGCUGGCGGCGUGCCUAAUACAUGCAAGUAGAACGCACAGUUUAUACCGUAGCUUGCUACACCAUAGACUGCGAGUUGCGAACGGGUGAGUAACGCGUAGGUAACCUGCCUGGUAGCGGGGGAUAACUAUUGGAAACGAUAGCUAAUACCGCAUAAUAUUGAUUAUUGCAUGAUAAUUGAUUGAAAGAUGCUAUUGCAUCACUACCAGAUGGACCUGCGUUGUAUUAGCUAGUAGGUGAGGUAACGGCUCACCUAGGCGACGAUACAUAGCCGACCUGAGAGGGUGAUCGGCCACACUGGGACUGAGACACGGCCCAGACUCCUACGGGAGGCAGCAGUAGGGAAUCUUCGGCAAUGGACGAAAGUCUGACCGAGCAACGCCGCGUGAGUGAAGAAGGUUUUCGGAUCGUAAAGCUCUGUUGUAAGAGAAGAACGGGUGUGAGAGUGGAAAGUUCACACUGUGACGGUAUCUUACCAGAAAGGGACGGCUAACUACGUG